RNAcentral lists this ribosomal RNA (549 nucleotides) under uncultured Glomus. RNAcentral describes it as "SSU rRNA". It matches the Rfam family "Eukaryotic small subunit ribosomal RNA", at positions 548 to 1098 of the family's 1831-position model. Lineage: Eukaryota; Fungi; Glomeromycota; Glomeromycetes; Glomerales; Glomeraceae. The record is from RNAcentral.
UUGGAGGGCAAGUCUGGUGCCAGCAGCCCCUUUAAAGCCAGCUCCAAUAGCGUAUAUUAAAGUUGUUGCAGUUCAUAAGCUCGUAGUUGAAUUUCGGGGUCAGUAGGUUGGUCAUGCCACAGGUAUGUACUGAUCUUACUGAUUCCUCCUUCCUGAUGAACCGUAAUGCCAUUAAUUUGGUGUUGCGGGGAGACUGGACUGUUACUUUGAAAAAAUUAGAGUGUUUAAAGCAGGCUAACGCUUGAAUACAUUAGCAUGGAAUAAUGAAAUAGGACGUUCGAUCCUAUUUUGUUGGUUUCUAGGAUUGACGUAAUGAUUAAUAGGGAUAGUUGGGGGCAUUAGUAUUCAAUUGUCAGAGGUGAAAUUCUUGGAUUUAUUGAAGACUAACUACUGCGAAAGCAUUUGCCAAGGAUGUUUUCAUUAAUCAAGAACGAAAGUUAGGGGAUCGAAGACGAUCAGAUACCGUCGUAGUCUUAACCAUAAACUAUGCCGACUAGGGAUCGGAUGAUGUUAAUUUUUUAAUGACUCAUUCGGCGCCUUACGGGAAAC